Molecule: ribosomal RNA, 497 nt
Filed under: uncultured bacterium
Lineage: Bacteria
Description: partial 16S ribosomal RNA
Rfam family: Bacterial small subunit ribosomal RNA
Source: RNAcentral
GAUGAACGCUGGCGGCGUGCCUAAUACAUGCAAGUCGAGCGAACAGGCGAGGAGCUUGCUCCUCUGACGUUAGCGGCGGACGGGUGAGUAACACGUGGAUAACCUACCUAUAAGACUGGGAUAACUUCGGGACACCGGAGCUAAUACCGGAUAAUAUAUUGAACCGCAUGGUUCAAUAGUGAAAGACGGUUUUGCUGUCACUUAUAGAUGGAUCCGCGCCGCAUUAGCUAGUUGGUAAGGUAACGGCUUACCAAGGCAACGAUGCGUAGCCGACCUGAGAGGGUGAUCGGCCACACUGGAACUGAGACACGGUCCAGACUCCUACGGGAGGCAGCAGUAGGGAAUCUUCCGCAAUGGGCGAAAGCUUGACGGAGCAACGCCGCGUGAGUGAUGAAGGUCUUCGGAUCGUAAAACUCUGUUAUUAGGGAAGAACAAAUGUGUAAGUAACUAUGCACGUCUUGACGGUACCUAAUCAGAAAGCCACGGCUAACUACGUG